UGGAAAGGGAGUGAUUGUAAUCACUCUCCCUUUCUCUAUAGUGAUGAGGAGGAAGGUCCCCAGCAGGUCUAGAGGACUCUUCCCCUUUCUUGAUGGCUUUGUCAGCCCUGCUAAUGCAUAGCCCAAAAAAGGCUCUGAAUUUCCACAGGAUUGAAGCUUUAUUAAACUUCUUAGGUUGGACCACCUAGAUGCCUGAACAACAUGAAACCUAUCAAAUAUUUAUCUACAUGAAACUUCUGCUCUUAGUCUUUCAAACUCAAUGUAGUGUUGGAUCCAGAAGUGCAACCCAGUUUCCAUGGCUCACCUAGUGUCUUAAACAUAUGUUGAACUGAUGCUUAACUAAAUUCCAGGAUCGUGUUUUUUCCCUCUUUGCACGCAAAGAAAAACCAAGUACACUGUAAAGACCUUGCCACCUCCAGAAAUGUUCCCGCUAUGUUAUGCCAUGCAGACAGUCUGAAUGCCUCAGUUUCCAUUUUUGAAAGGCAGAAGGGGAUAGGUGUCUUCUGAAGAUGAUGUUAUAAAACACAGCUGUUGAAAAAUUGACUUACAAAAGGAGGGAAUAUUAUAUAAGAAGAAAUUCUUUUAUAUUGACACUUCAUUAAUACUAAAACAAAUCACUCCAUCAUGUUCCUAAGGGAAAUUCAUUUCUGGGAAGCUUGUUCACUAGCUUGUAUUAAAGAUCAGUUUGUUCCCGAGGUAGUGUAGAUGUAGUAGAACCAGUAAGAAAAUGUAUUAACAAUGUCUGAACCCAGCUCUGAGUUCAGGUGAGGUUUAGUUAUUAGAUAUUAGGAACAAUUUCUUCUCAGAAAGAGUGGUAAUUCAUUGGAACAGGCUACCCAGUGGUGGAGUCACCAUCUCUGGAGAUUUACAAGAACGGUGGAAAUGUGGCACUUAGGGAUGUGGCUUGAGUGGACAUGGGGGGGAUGAGUUGACCACGGGACUUCUUUUGUUGAUAAUCUCAGAGGUCUUUUACAACCUUAAUGAUUCUAUAAUACAUCAGAGGGAAGGGUGGACAGCAAACUUCAUGUUUGUCCCAUGCCCAUUGGGUGCUGCUGAUAUGAAAUAGGCUGGUGGAUUACACUUUUCUGCUCCCCAGUGGAUCCACCUCUGAUCUCAACAAAUCACCAGGCUUUCUUGUCAUUCUGAAUGCUCUCCAAGUCUAGUUGCCUUCAUGUUUUCCUUAUGAGCAUAGUAUAAGUCUGUGUGAAUAUUUACCUUCUGAUAAUUGCACUCUAUUAGUCCUCAGGGCCGCAGCUGCCUCAGGAACUGUAGUUAAUUUUCCCAGUGUUCUGCUAUCUUGUAAUUGUUUAAAAGUUAACACCGGAAUAUCAAUGCAGUUUCGUUAUUAACUUCAAAGAAGCCCUCUUGAGCAUGCUUUUAAAAUGUUAAAGCAACCUGUCUGAAAUGCAGUUUGGGCAGCUUACAUUCUGGAGAGCAGAGCAAACUCAUGUAAUAGAACCUACCUUCUUUGCUCUUCUUUCUUGUUUUAUAUUUCAGACAGGUUGGAUAACUUAUUUUGCCCACAGAUUAAUUCAACUUUCAUUUCAUUAAAACAUCUCUAGCUGCUAAGUGAAAUGUAAGAUGAAAUGAAGUCUGCGAGAUAGCCUGUGAGGUCUCUCCUGCAGGGUCAUAUCUCCCACUGAAUUCUAAUCUCAUGUUCUGAAGAGAGCUUUGCUUUUGGGUGGUUAACACUGAAGUAAUUGAGUGAGCAGCGAUUAUUUCAAGAUAACAAUCAGGCAAUGUGCCUGCAAUCCAGAUAGGGCACUAACGAUGAUCAAGACCAUCUUUAUGCAUAAAUCAUGUCUGAUAUAAUAAUUUAUGUCUCACCUACAGAACAGAGAAACAAGAACAAAACCCGAUCUUUUAAAAACCUAUUCUUGCUUAGAGAUUUCUGGGUGGAAAGUCUUUUUUUUUUUUCUCCUGUGGAUCUGGUAGCUAAUUACCUUCUCUGUAAAAAUAAUAAUAAUAAAAAAAAAAUUACACAUUGUUUCUGCUCUUGUUUCAGCUUCCAGCUACUAUUUCCUGCAUUUCUUAGGGAAAAUAAAUAAAUAAAUAAAUAAAUGUCCCUCUGGUAGGGAUUUCAAGACUUACUGAUUGGAGAGCAGUAAGAGCAAUUAGAGGUGGUUACCUAUGUCUAAAUCACCUGUGAAUACUAAUGAUUUAAACUGCUAUAAAAAUACCUCCCCCCCCCCCCCCCACCAUGAAUACGUCAGCUGGUGUGAAUUUGAUCUUAGAUCCAAUCUCAAGGCAGUUUCUACUCUUGAUUCUGAAUAUGUGGAGUUCACUGAAUAUCAUUUGGAAUCUGGUGGUUCAAAUAUUGAAACUGCCCAGGGUAGGUGCUCAAAAUUCCUUUAUGAUGUAAGUCAUCUAGCAGUACUUUGCAUAGCUAAUGCUGAACAAACAAGGGAACAGCAACAUGAUAGUCUUAUUGAGAAGAUAAAAUGGAAAGUUACAUGGCUGUUUUGUCCCCAUAUUUUCAGACCUACAGCCAACUAUCCUCAGUAUUUCUAUAACCUCCUUCUUCAGUGGCCAAGCAGAAUAGAAUCAUAGAACCAUUAAGGUUGGAAAACACCUCCAAGAUCAAUCAAGUCCAACCAUUAACACAUUCCCAUCAUGACCAAUAAACCACAUCCUUCAGUGCCACAUUUCUCUAUUUCUUGAGCACCUCCAAAGAUGGUGAUUCUACCACUGCCCUGGGCAUCCUGUUCCAAUACCUUAGCACUCCUUCUGAGAAUAAAUUUUUCCUAAUAUCCAAUACAAACCUCCCCAGCACAUCUUAAGGUCAUUUUCCUGCAAAUAACUCUGGAGCAAUUAUAUCCUUAGGGAAAUGUUGUGAGAUCUGGCUUUCUUCAGUCUGGAGAAGAUGAGGUGGAGUGCGCUUUUUAUUGAUAUUAAACAGGAAAGCAUACAAAAGACAAAGGCUUUCCCAUGUAAUAGGAUGAGGUGCAGAGGCACAGAAUGAAAAGUAGGAAAAUAUGAUUCGAUUUCAGAGAAACAAAUAUAAAACUGGAGCUGACAAAUAUCAAAACAGUAGAAAAAAAAAAGUGAGAUUUUCAUCUUUAGAGAUGAAACUUUACUGGAAAAGUCCCUAAGCAACAUUCACUGAUUUUGAAUUUGGUUCUAACUUGCAAGUUAGUCGUGCUUUAAACAUGGGGUUUGACCAGACACCUCCAAAGUUCCUGCUGACCUCAAUAAUUGUAUGAUUUUCUAUAGAGAGUUACCUGAUCUUCAUAGAGUUUGCAAAAGUCUGAGCUCCACAGGUCUUAUGUGUCUCCAUCUGCAUCUGAGUAUUCACUGCCUUCAGUGUGGAAGAGCUUCAUCUUUGCUGGGAAUGAGGAAAUCUAGUGUCACAAAGGCAAUUGGUUUCUAAAGUUAGUGUAUUUACUUUCACCUUCCCUUGAAAGAAUUCCUUGAUAGUCUCUCUGAACCUUCCUCUCAUGUUUUAUUCCUCUUAUCAAGCUUCAUGAGGCUUCAAUACAGCCAAUCCCAACUGUUACAGAUUCUCAAAUCAUUUUAUUUAGGAGAAAUAAAAUGCAGAAUGGCAACUUAAAUGUUAAUGAUGUGCGAUAUGGCUUUUUUUAUAUGUAUAAAAUCCAUCAUUGCUUAAUGAUCUAAGUCACUGUAGACUCCUGGUUAAGGUAGAUAAGAGCGUGUGGCACUUCCAAAAUAACAGAUAUUUCAAGCCCACGCGGUAGUGAUUAACAAAGGAUCUUUGCAAUGAGAAAACAAGAGACCAGAACAGCUUAAGGCUUCCCCGCUUUAGCUUAAGGCUUCUCCACUUUUGCAGAAACCUUUUGCUUUUUAGCUCUACUUACCUUGGAAAUGCGUCCCUUGUUGAGGGAUGACAAUCAUUUAUACAUUUUGAGGUUUGGAUGCAAAAUUAAUUUGCUCAUCCAUUUAUAUGUAUUUUGGUGCACGUUGAAUAUUCAUUUAUAGAGUAUCUUAGUGUUGUAAGAUAAUUCCUGGUUCAUUUGCUCAGUAAAUGGAGGAGAAGGCUGACAACUGAAAAGAUGCAGCUACAAGUACAGCAUAGGGUUCUUCUCUAAUUUCUCCAGUUUCUCUUACUCCAAAGUAAAAAUGUGCCUGUAGAAACUAUGCUUUUACCUCCAAUCUAGUGUUACUGUAUACUGUAGCCUUUGUUUACGUACACAUAAAAAGCAUACCGUUAGCAUCUGCACUGAUAGCAGCAGAUUAAGACUGGCAUAAGCCCAAGAGAAGACAUCACGUUGGUAUUAAUGCACAGCAAAGUAUUUCCUUAAGUAUUUUUUCGCUUUGAAACUGUUGGACCAAAACUGUCCAGGUCCAUUUAGCAGAAGACUUCUUCAGCUGAAAAGAAAGAUUUCAACAAGAUAUUUUGUCUUUCUUCAUAGGUCAUAUUUAAUUUAUAAAUAUAGCCCCAAAUAACCUAUUUAGAGGCAAAAAGUAUUUGUUCCAGAUUGAAUAACUGUUUUACUUAACUCAAGACGACGUCUUGUUUCAACAGAAGGAUUCAUUAUUUGGGGUUUAUUUAACCCAAGAAAGUGUUUUUCCUGACUCAGUUUUUCCAGUUUGUCACCUGUACAAAUGCAGAGAUGGAAGCAAGAAAAAAAAAACAACUCCGAAGUUGUAAUACAAGCUGGAAACAAUUCAAAUUUGAUCUCAUACUGCCCUACACCUUUCCUUCAAUUGGCAGCAUGUGUACUGGAAGACAAACACAUUCACUGCUCUGGAGGAGCAUAUGUGAACAGUAGUGAACUGCAAGUUGAAAUAGCUGGUGAGUAGGAAGAGAGAUUUGAAUACCAGCAACUGGAGCAGAGCCAUGAACCACCAGGACUCAAACAUCCAGGUGACAGCAACUGAGAAGACCUGGGGAUUUGAGAGCCUGCUACUGGAUAUCUAAGAUCAGUUUUUGGAAAAAAUGAUGAUGUUUGUGCCUAUUCCUAUAGCAACUUUAAUCCUUAUCAGCUGGACAUGAAGAACAAAAUGAAGCCAUUUGUUCUGUUCAUGUUUCUGGGAGUCCUGUGUGUUUAGAUAGAAGGUGGAAGAGCAUUAUUUUCUGUAUUUGUCUGUGUGACUGGCCAUACAUACAAGUAUAUUCAUAGAAAUGCCUAUCUGUAUAUAGAUAUGUAAAAUAAACUAGGAUGGGAACACCCAUGGAUGUAGAAGCCUCUAACAGAACAUAAAUGAACUUCAGAGAUAAUAAAAGUGCUUCUUAGCAGUCUAAAAGGGGAGGAGGUGGAAAAUAAAUAAAUUAGAAGAAUUAAAAUAAAACAAUUGUGAUAUAAACAGAAAAUGAUUGUGCAAUAGUAAAUCAUCGGCAAAGUAUCUUUCAACUUUAUCCUUUUGUAUGGACUGCUGAUUGCAUUUUUAACUGCUUAUCUCAUGAUUUGAAGGACGUAGUUGCUCUUUGAGUGAGGAUGGUAUCCUUCUUUCUUUGUUCCAGGUGGGAGGCUGUGUCACAAUUUUUCCUGUUCCCACC
This is a long non-coding RNA of Gallus gallus (chicken), 5458 nucleotides long. Lineage: Eukaryota; Metazoa; Chordata; Aves; Galliformes; Phasianidae. The record is from Ensembl.